Non-coding RNA from Nothobranchius furzeri (turquoise killifish), 6032 nucleotides. NCBI's taxonomy places the organism in Eukaryota, Metazoa, Chordata, Actinopteri, Cyprinodontiformes, Nothobranchiidae. The record is from RefSeq and is a predicted model, not a curated record.
UUGUGUUGCAUAUAACCAAAUUUUGUUCAUAUUGUUAGUACGGCUACACAAAAUAUAAAAAAAAUGCAUCAUCAUAGUGAUAUCUGCAUGUCAGUAAUGUAUUUAAUGACUCACAUGGAGCUAUUUAGAGAAGAUCUCAGUAAGCUGAUGAAUAACUUCUGGCUAAUUACAGUAGCCUCGCCUGUUCCUCUAAGAUGUGGUUCACACAGCAGGAUGUAUAAAUAAUUGGUAGUUUUUCAAAACAUGAGACCCUACAAGUAGUGAUAAAAAAAUCACAGAUCUACUAGAUUUGGAACACGAACAUUCUCCAUUCACACUGGAAAUCUUGCGAGAUCAGACGUGAUUUCGGAGUAAACAAACACGACAGAGGAGGAGCGUGGCUACACGUCACUUUCAACAGGCAGCAUGAUCAUUUGUCUUCAAAAUGGACCAAGACAAUUGAUCUCACCGAUUUUUAGUCGGAGUGGUCCUGACGUGCUUUCAAGUUGACAAUAGGUCUUUACACACAACACGUGGUAGGAAUAUCUGAUGACUUUAUUUAUUUUUAGUAAUUACGGUAAUUGGGCGUGUCGUUUGUGAUCGUCAGAAGGAAAGGAUUGGGUCAAAAAUCAGCAUGAUUAUCUUGCUGUGUGAACCAGGCCUAAUAAUGAGACUGAAGGUUAACAAAACUUACUUGAAGAGGUUAUUAAUGAAGAAAAGACAGUAAUUGGCUAAUGCAAAAGACAAACAAGUACAUCAGACGGAUAGUGGGUGCCUAGAGGAUAGGUUACUGUGGUGACCCUUGAAGAGAAGAAGCUCCAUCUAGCAUUUAGGAGAAACUAGAUGGAGGAAAAAUGGUUUCAAGGAGGUUUCUAAACUGGAAAAACCCAAGUGGGCCUCCAUGGUCUCAAAUCUCUGGAAGCUGAAGGCACUGAAGAAUCGAAUCAUGAUACCUGAAGGGUGUUGUACAUAUGGGGGAUUGGUGAAAAAAGACAUAUGGCCGUUUUUUCUUAAGUUAUAAUAGUUUUAUCAUCUGUUGUCUCCAUAAUCAAACACCCAAUCUGGGACACACGCUCGACAUAAUCAUAACCAAAGAUGUGGAUGUGUCGAACAUCUGACCAUUUGUGUUUUUCCUAAUAUGUCCAUUUCACCAGCUACACAUUACACCUCUGUUGUACUCAAGUAAAGGUAUCUGGGUGAUCACACUGCAUCAGUUUUUAUAGAACGCAGCUUCACUGGUCACAUUAGGGCUAUAACUAGACCAUCUGCAUCAAAUAGCACGACUCAGGGUUCCCAUGUCCAGUCAAGACCUAGAGAAACUCAUUCAUGUGUUCACCUACAGCAGGCUAGACUAUUGCUAUGGUCUUUUGACUGGUCUCCCCAAAAAAGCUGUGAAGCUGCAGCUUAUUCAGAAUGCUGCUGCUAGAGUCUCAACAAGAACCAAGAGAACAGAGCACAUCACUCCUGUUCUUAAAUCUCAACACUGGUUACCAGUAAACUACAGAAUUUAUUUCAAAGUGCUUCUACUAGAAAAAAGAAAACAAUCUUUUAUAUAUUUAUUUAUAUAUAAAAAAUAAUAAUAAUAUAAGAAAAGGGAGAGAGAAAAUGAACAGGAAAGAGGGAAAUCAGUGGAUCGCGGGGAAAGGCGGAAUAAGUAGAAAGAGCAGAAUAAGGAGAGGGUGGUGAUGAAGGUCACGCUAAAGCCAGCUUCAACAAGUGAGUUUUCAGCUGCUUCUUAAAGGAGACCACCGAGUCCACUGAUCUCAGGCUCAGGGGGAGAGAGUUCCAGAGUCUGGGGGCCACAGCAGCAAAUGAUCUGUCACCGUUGGUCUUUAGCCUGGUGCGCUGCACAACCAGUAGUACUAGUACUAGUGUUUAAGUCACUCAAUGGCAUGGGGCCAGAAUACAUGUUGGAUCUCCUUCCUGUAUACACACCCAGCAGGGCUCUGAGAUCCUUAGGAAGCGGUCAGCUGGUAGAACCUCGGGUCAGAACCAAACAGGGUGAAGCUGCUUUUAGCUACUAUGCCGCUCAUGGAUACAAUCAGCUUCCUUAUGACCUCAAAUGUGCCCCAUCUCUAGUAACUUUUAAAUCAAAAUUGAAAACCUUCAUGUUUUCAUCAGCCUUUGAAUAAAUGUUCUUAUGCUGUACCGUCUGUACUGUAACCGCUCACCCUUUAACUUUGUUUCUUUGUCACUUUUAAAUUGUAUUUUCUGUCACGCCGAUUUUAAAGUUCUUGCUAAUCUUGCUAAUGGAAAGCACAAUGAAUUGUCUUUGUGUAUGAGAUGUGCUAUAUGAAUAAAGCUGCCUUGCCUGUACAAAACACAAGUAUAGGGAGCCUAAGUCAGUUCCACAUCAUGGGUCCCCAGAAGAACGAAAAAAUGAAUGCAAGUCAAUGGGGCCAAAAACGCUAUUUUCUAACGCCGCUUGUUUUGUGCCAUGGAUUCACGUAUGAUGUCCGUGAAUUUUAAAGGCACAUUUUGAUACCAAGAAUGCGCUUAUUUUCGAACGGGGGGAAUGAUAUUUUAGGUUUUGUGUGAAAAUAAGUCCAGGACUACAAAUGCGCUUCACGAACAUGACGUCAUCGAACCAGACACGGAGAAAAGUGAGGGAAAAGGGCCGUAAGUUCAGCAAACUUCCCACAGGAGGAAAGAACCACCAUAAAUCUGGUCAAUUGGUAAGUAGCAGCUACAUUAGGGGAGAGGAGAUUAUGUGGUGACGUCACAUAUGCGACGUGUCGAUGUAGUCAUGUUAAUUACGAACUUUUACAAGCUAAUCUCAAAGUACGUGACUGGCGUGGUCGAAACACACAUCAUUACUUUUCAUUUAAAUUGCAGUACAACAUAUGUGCGAUCCAGGGCGUAAGGCAAAGCGGAUUAGAAAGUAUCGCUUUUAGCUCCGUUGACUUGUAUUCAUUUUUUCGUUCUUCUGGAGACCCAUCAUGCGAAAGUGACUGAGGCUCCCUAUGAUGUUCUUUAGACAAAGUCCCAAAGCAGUUUUAUUCUUGACUCUUUCAGUACCUUCCAGAAUGAGCCGUUACAGGGCUCUGUCACUAAAGAAAAACAAGCUCGAGCUGGCCACGCCCACCUGCCCAGGGUUAGAAACUUUGAUAUCCAGGGAGGGGCUCAGAGUAGAGCCGCUGCUCCUCUAGCCCGGAAAGGUGAGAGGGAGUUCUAUGCAAAUUUCUUUGCUUUAAUUUUUGUAACCGCUUGUUUUAGGCAUGUAAUUUAGAAAACUAAACAUUGACAGAGAACAGUUUUUUUUCCACGUUUGGAGUGUUUAUAGAGCCUUUAGAGACCCACAAGGCAGCACAAAAAGAUGCAAAAAAUCAGAUUUGCUUAAUAUAUCUCAACUUUUAUUGAAUGAGAUCAUUUUCUAAUUCUAAGUUAAAUACAUUUUUUUGCCACUUUAAUGUCUGGUUACAACAAAAUCACAAUUUUUUUCCUCCUGAAUAGGCAAAAUUGCGAUGUGUCCAGAGCAUAAAGAAUAACCAUGAAGGCAGCGUCUCAGGCCUCUCAUUUUGAAGCAUCAAUCAUUAAUACUAGCCUGAGUGAGAGCCUCUUUAUUUGUUACCUCCUCUGCAAGCUGCAGGAUAAUAAAUAGGAGAAUUAGAGAAGGGCCUCCUGCUUCACAGAGAUACAGCACAGAGCCGCCGCUUCACAUCACGUCCUUUUCAUUAGUGUGUGUGUGUGUGUGUGUGUGUGUGUGUGUGUGUGUGUGUGUGUGUGUGUGUGUGUGUGUGUGUGUCCAACAGCUUGACGUGCUCUUUGUGUUUAAACUGUACAUGAGGGGCUCUGACUUGUGAAUCUUUUGUGUCACUUCCCCUAAUUUCCCAGCGAGUGACUCGAAUCAAUUACAGCAAUUAUGGAGUCAUGCUAUUUUUUUAGCUCUUCUGUGGUUAGAAAAGGAUUUUUCUUUUUGUCUGGAAUUAGAAAAGCCUUUUUUAGCACGUGUGAUUUGAGUAGACAAGCCAUGGGUAUCCGUAAUAGAAUCUCAGCGUUGUUUAAUGUCUAUUUCCAUCUUCUUAAUCAAAUGAGUCCAGGAAUAGAAUAGGAUCAAGAACUAGCCUGAAUCCAUUGGCAGGCGCAUGGUGAGCUGUUUUUCCCUCCACGUGCUGUGUUGUUAUUCUAGAAGGUUCACUCAGUUAUGUUUUAGUAUUUGUCAACACACACACACACACGCACACACACACACCAGCUUUUUCCCUAUCGUGAUUAAAGAUUUAUCUCAGUCAAUUGUUUGUAUUAUUUAACCUGCCGACAACAACCCACAAGUAUUUGAGUGAAAUUAGUCCAUGAGUGAGUUUCUGCUGAGGAUCACAGUGUAGGGAGACAGUCCAUCUGUCUUGUUUCUGCAGCAUGUCCUAAUAUGAGCAGUCCAAUGUAGAAGUGUGUUUUUUAAAUGACAGCUGGUGUUUGUGAAUGCUCUCCACACACACCUCUGUUCAACACAAGCUGGUGACAUCAGGAGAGGAUUGUAAAGAACAGAUGAUGUUUGAGGCUGCUCUGCUAUUUGACCAUUAGGCCAUCUUGAAAUCUGUAUUUUCACCAAUUUUUUCCCCAAAUUAAAUUUCUUCUCGUAAUUCAGUGUUUCUUGACAGCACUAGAAACAAAACUGAGUGUUUUGUCUGAAAUCAAACGGUGUAAAAAUGAAACCAACUCAGAGAUUUUAAAGGAGACAUAACAUGAAAAACCCACUUUUUUAUCCAUUAACACAGUGUGUUUCACAUUUUAAGUAUCUAAGUGAGCAAAAAGGCUUAUAUUAUUCACUGGAGUUGCUAUUUAGAUAUUUAAUAAUUAAGUUUUGGGCAUAUUUGUCCACCCGUUCAGUUUUUACAUAAUCUAUUACAUCAGUAAUUAAUUUAGUGAGGAUAACUACCAAAUAUGGUAAUGGCCCUCGGCUAAACACAGAGCCAAUCCGCCAUUUUUUCUUCUCGCUAAGAUUUUUUGUAGUCCUAUUGGAAAAAUGCAGAAUGUCUGGUUAUUUUAGCCACACACAGCUCAAAACUGUUCCUCGUUUUAAGGAAGGGUGGUGUGGCAGUAUUUAAACCCAGGAGCUGAUGACACUACUGCUAAAAAAACACAGAAGAAAAAGUAGUGUGUUUGUGUUUGUGUUUGUGUGUGUGUGUGCGCGCGCGUGGUUCGUUCUUUCGUGUCUUCAGGCUAGUAAGUACUGAGGGCUUCAUCUAUCUAAAAGGAGUCAUUUUUAUCUGAAUGUGGCAGCACCGGGACACAGCAGCAGAGCGAAUAUGACGAUGACAUCAUGGAACUGGUCUUUGGAAAAGUUUUCCCUGAACCAACUCCAUUUCUAGAUGAGGUAGAGAAGAUCUGCAUCUCACCAACUCUCUGAUCUCAGUAUUCAGACAACGGAGGUCUCCCACUGUUAUCCAGGACCAGUUUGAAGCCCACAUACUGCCCCUCCCUCAUCAUCAGGAAACAUCAAUCCGUAUCCUGAGGACAACAGAAGACGGCAGGAGGACAGGAACUCUGAGACCUAGACACCACCAGCACCGAGACACAAAUUACCUGUGUGCACAACGCCUGUUUUAACUACUAAAGCCUGUUUAUUAUAUUGUUCUACUUAUUUGCUGUGAGGUUAAUACUUAGAAAAUUUGUAUAUUAAUGUAAACAAUUAAAAAAAAUCACUGAUUGUAUGUUUUCUUUUAGAUGUAAUGGUCCAAACUCCGCCUUGUAGACAUUUAUUGCAUCCUGUAGGUAAAUACACAGAACAGGCUCAGGUCCAGGAUGACCCAGCAUGCUCUUCUUCCAUUCUGGCUGUUAGGGAUUGUAUCAAUAACUCAAUGCCUACUGAUGUUUUCACCUAACGGUAUUUAUUUAGAAUGCAGGUAAGAUUUAACUAUAUUUGUUAGCAAAGCAGACUGAUCUUGGGAAUUUCACUGCAGCACUGAUGGCCACCUCUCUGUACACAUUAGAGAGAAUUACCACUUUACAGCUAAACACAUUUAAUAAAGAUAUAGGCUACGCAUUGCAGACAAUAAAAACAAAGUUGUAAGCAUUAGAAUUAUAAUGAUCACAUUAAAGAACAUUUGGAGGAA